CCGACGGUGAGGGGCGAAAGCUGGGGGAGCAAACCGGAUUAGAUACCCGGGUAGUCCCAGCCGUAAACGAUGUGCGUUAGGUGUAUCGGUGACCACGAGUCACCGAGGUGCCGAAGAGAAAUCGUGAAACGUACCGCCUGGGAAGUACGGUCGCAAGGCUGAAACUUAAAGGAAUUGGCGGGGGAGCACCACAACAGGUGGAGCCUGCGGUUUAAUCGGACUCAACGCCGGGAAACUCACCAGAUAAGACAGCUGAAUGAUAGUCGGGCUGAAGACUCUACUUGACUAGCUGAGAGGAGGUGCAUGGCCGUCGUCAGUUCGUACUGUGAAGCAUCCUGUUUAGUC
RNAcentral lists this ribosomal RNA (345 nucleotides) under uncultured archaeon. RNAcentral's name for it is "bacterial SSU rRNA". It matches the Rfam family "Archaeal small subunit ribosomal RNA", at positions 691 to 1035 of the family's 1478-position model. The record is from RNAcentral.